RNAcentral lists this transfer RNA (72 nucleotides) under Nitrososphaerota archaeon. Its description in RNAcentral is "tRNA-Ala". It matches the Rfam family "tRNA". Rfam says of the family: Transfer RNA (tRNA) molecules are approximately 80 nucleotides in length. Their secondary structure includes four short double-helical elements and three loops (D, anti-codon, and T loops). Lineage: Archaea; Thermoproteati; Nitrososphaerota. The record is from RNAcentral. RNAcentral also lists the same sequence under 1 other name.
GGGCUGGUAGUUCAGGGGUAGAAUGCUCCCUUGGCAUGGGAGAGGUCGGGGGUUCGAGUCCCCCCCAGUCCA